Molecule: ribosomal RNA, 1134 nt
Filed under: seawater metagenome
Description: bacterial LSU rRNA
Rfam family: Bacterial large subunit ribosomal RNA
Source: RNAcentral
AUACGAGAUAUCUUGCGUGACUGGAGUUCAGACGUGUGCUCUUCCGAUCUAGCCGAUGCCGGACAAAGGUAGUGCCCGUACUAAAACCGACACAGGUAGGCGAGAUGAAUAUUCUAAGGCGCUCGAGAGAACGCUCGUGAAGGAACUCUGCAAAUUAACCCCGUAACUUCGGGAGAAGGGGUGCCCUUGUUAGUGAAGCCGCAAGGUGGAGCUUUCGGGGGCCGCAGUGAAAUGGAUCUGGCGACUGUUUACUAAAAACACAGGUCUCUGCGAACACGUAAGUGGAGGUAUAGAGACUGACGCCUGCCCGGUGCCGGUAAGUUAAGGAAGAGGGUUAGCCCCUUAAAAGGUGAAGCUCGCAACCGAAGCUCCGGUAAACGGCGGCCGUAACUAUGACGGUCCUAAGGUAGCGAAGUUCCUUGUCGGGUAAGUUCCGACCUGCAUGAAUGGCGUAACGACCGGAUCACUGUCUCCACGAGCGACUCGGUGAAACUGUAGUUGUUGUGAAGAUGCAACAUACCCGCAACUAGACGGAAAGACCCCGUGAACCUUUACUGUAGCUUAGUAUUGGGUUUAGGCCCAGCAUGCGUAGUGUAGCUGGGAGGCUGUGAAGGGAGUUCUCCGGAACUUCCGGAGCCGACGCUGAAACACCAGCCUUGUUGUGCUUGAAUUCUAACCCCGACCCGUGAAACCGGGCGGCGGACAGUGCUAAGUGGGCAGUUUGACUGGGGCGGUCUCCUCCUAAAGAGUAACGGAGGAGUUCAAAGGUACCCUCAGCCUGGUCGGCAAUCAGGCUUCGAGCGCAAAGGUAGAAGGGUGCUUGACUGCGAGUCCAAUCAGACGAGCAGGUGCGAAAGCAGGACUUAGUGAUCCGGCGGUGCUGGAUGGAAAGGCCGUCGCUCAACAGAUAAAAGGUACUCCGGGGAUAACAGGCUUAUCUCCUCUGAGCGUUCACAGCGGCGAGGAGGUUUGGCACCUCGAUGUCGGCUCAUCGCAUCCUGGGGGUGUAGAAGCUCCCAAGGGUUAGGCUGUUCGCCUAUUAAAGCGGUACGUGAACUGGGUUCAGAACGUCGCGAGACAGUUCGGUCCCUAUCUGCUGUGGGCGUAGGAAAUUUAGAUCGGAAGAGCACACGU